RNAcentral lists this ribosomal RNA (132 nucleotides) under Bacteroidales bacterium. RNAcentral describes it as "partial 16S ribosomal RNA". It matches the Rfam family "Bacterial small subunit ribosomal RNA", at positions 1420 to 1533 of the family's 1533-position model. Lineage: Bacteria; Pseudomonadati; Bacteroidota; Bacteroidia; Bacteroidales. The record is from RNAcentral.
CCCGACGUCGCUGGGCUAACUUCCCUUUCUUUAUAGAUUGGGCAGGGGCAGGCGCCUAAGGUAUGGUUGAUAACUGGGGUGAAGUCGUAACAAGGUAGCCGUACCGGAAGGUGCGGCUGGAACACCUCCUUU